CCUUUUCUCUCUUCUCUGAUUCAAGCAAUCAGCCACCAACAUCUUAUUCACCAUUGAAUUUCAAGAUCAAAACAAUAGAGUUUAUUACCAUUUUAUUUUCUCUUUGAAUAAACUGCAAAUCUCAGCCAUGGAGCCACCCUCUUCGCCCCUUUUUCCGGCAUAAUGCCGCCUGCAAACCACCCCUUUUGUCGCCUGUAACCACCGCACCACCACCUCCUUAUUUCCCGAUCGUCGCAAACAACCCACCACCACCACGCACCUCCCCUGUCUCCCUCGCCCUUGCGCCCAACUCCCUGCCUCCCUCCUCACUCGACCCCCUGCCUUCGCGCCCAGCCAGCACAGUGGUGCUGCUGCGCUGGCGACGCUCCACCCCUUUCCUCCUCCCUGGUGCAGCGCCACCCAGACACGCCUCCCCUAAACCCGCCGGAAAACCGUUGCAGUCUCCUCCCAUAACCACCCACGCCAUCGCACAGUCCCUCCCUCUUUGCGCAAACCACCGUCGCACAACCACGACCAUUACCGUCGCUUUAUUGCGCCACCGUGCCUCCCAGGCGUCAGCCUCCACCUCCGUUCCCCUCCCCCUCUUCCUCUUCGUCCGUUUCCCUCCUCCCUCGUGCCCUGCCCUCCUCUGUUCUUGCUCGAGGUUCCCAGGAAACAAGUUCCAGAUUGGAACUGUUUUCUUAUUCCCCAUACCAAGCCCAAAAUUGUUGGCCCAAAUAGCUCAAAAAUCGAACUCGGAGCUCAGGACGAACGAACCAAGGAAAAAGGCUUAGCAAAUCGUGGAAUUGAGGUACUGCGGGAAUCGAUGGAAACGCGUAGAGGCGAGGAAUUUCACUUUUAUAUUAUUCACCUAGUUUAUGCUUGAUGUUUAUAAUUGUUUAAUUUAAAGACUUUUAGUAAUUUAUGUACUUGUAUUUUGGGAAUAUAAAUGAUUAUUAUAUUAAUUUGGAGGUUUUUAUGGCUUAUGUAUGAUGUUGCCUUGUAAUUUCCAAGAGGGAAUUACGGCAGGUAAUGUCCCGACCAAAUUAGGUUAAUUCCGCUGCUAAUUAUGCUUUAAUAAGUGAUUUAGA
Spinacia oleracea (spinach) is the source of this 1070-nucleotide long non-coding RNA. RefSeq lists it as uncharacterized. The record is from RefSeq and is a predicted model, not a curated record. The transcript is spliced from 3 exons. NCBI's taxonomy places the organism in Eukaryota, Viridiplantae, Streptophyta, Magnoliopsida, Caryophyllales, Amaranthaceae.